This 352-nucleotide unclassified non-coding RNA is filed under the name soil metagenome. Its description in RNAcentral is "partial contains 5.8S ribosomal RNA, internal transcribed spacer 2, and large subunit ribosomal RNA". The stretch from base 1 to 120 matches the Rfam family "5.8S ribosomal RNA", at positions 35 to 154 of the family's 154-position model. The record is from RNAcentral.
GAUGAAGAACGCAGCGAAAUGCGAUAAUUAAUGUGAAUUGCAGAAUUCAGUGAAUCAUCGAGUCUUUGAACGCACAUUGCGCCCGCCAGUAUUCUGGCGGGCAUGCCUGUUCGAGCGUCAUUACAACCCUCAGGCCCCCGGGCCUGGCGUUGGGGAUCGGCGGAGCCCCCCGUGGGCACACGCCGUCCCCCAAAUGCAGUGGCGGUCCCGCCGCAGCUUCCAUCGCGUAGUAGCUAACACCUCGCGACUGGAGAGCGGCGAGGCCACGCCGUAAAACACCCAACUCUUCUGAAGUUGACCUCGAAUCAGGUAGGAAUACCCGCUGAACUUAAGCAUAUCAAUAAGCGGAGGA